GGUCACGUCAGUUAAGAGGACGAUGAAGGAAGCGUCUGUACUAUGUCUGCUCUUUCUGACAUCGGUGUUUUACUGGACAACAAACCAAGCUCGUCUGACUGUGAGUCCCAG
Molecule: long non-coding RNA, 111 nt
Organism: Pundamilia nyererei
Lineage: Eukaryota; Metazoa; Chordata; Actinopteri; Cichliformes; Cichlidae
Exons: 3
Source: RefSeq, a predicted model, not a curated record